This 1843-nucleotide long non-coding RNA is filed under the name Androctonus crassicauda. The record is from RNAcentral. Lineage: Eukaryota; Metazoa; Arthropoda; Arachnida; Scorpiones; Buthidae.
ACUUCAUUAUGUUUUUUAUAAAAUAUUGAUGUAUUCAAUUAAAAUUUAUAUCUAUUAACCUAUAUAUAUUGAUAAAUAUUAUUUCAUUUUUAAGAGUAUUUAAAAAAAACUGUAAUGUAUGUCAAUUAGUAAUUGAAUCUUCUAUGGGUGAGGACAGAACUCGUCCACUGUCUCAACUAUGUAUCAUAAGAAGCAACUAAAGGUAUCCAAUCCUACUGUGGAAGCAGCCAUUCAAAAAGGAUUGUAUGAUGAAAGAUAGAAUUAAUAAACAAUGCCCAUCACUGAUUUGAUCAGCUGGUGACAGAUAGGCAAGGCAGGUCUGAUAUAUCAACACUAUAUUUCUAACUUCUGUUCUGCAUGGAUCAAUCUCAUAAUAAAUCAUCAAUUUCAAAAACUGCAUUGAAUUCUCUCUGUAAGAAAGUCUGCACCAGUGAUAUUUUCACAAAUCCUUUCCUAGAAAAAGAAGCAGCCAAAAUUGCAACAAUCUGUCUUAUCAUUCAUUCUAAUUUGGAAACACCAGUUGAGAAGUUAUUCCUGUUUCUCAUCAGGAAAGUGAGAGAUUCCUCCUCUUUUCAAUGGGUUGAGAAAAUUCUCCAAUUCUCAAGCUCUUAAUCAACCAGACAUCCCCUAUCUUCAACAGCUAAAGAGCUUGGAUAUAUUCAAACCGAAUACAAACAAUAAGCACCUUCAAUGAAAACUAAACUGAGGAACGAAAAAUUGACAGCAUCUAAUGUUUAUUUAGAUACAGAUAAUUCAGACCACACUUAAAAUCUCAAUAUUAAAAUCAUUGAUUCAGCAGAUAUUAUGUAUCACUUCUUACCAUCGUUAGUGCUAAGAAACAGCCAUCAAAGCCUAAAUCUAAAAAUACAGAUUCUACGUCUAUGUCUACUGACACUGAUCACAUAUAAAAUCAAGAUAAUAACAGUUCAAAUUUGGAGGAGGUAUAGAAGUGCCUCAGAGCAGUUUUCUCAGUAUUACUCUUUCCUCUUAAAAAUUAAUUUACUGUCUCCUGUAUCUCAAAAACUGUCAUUUGCUAUAUAUAGAUGACCUAAACAUAUAUCUGUUAAGCCUCCCCUUGUAAUCCAUUGUCUGCCAACUCCAGAUAUCUUUACAUUAUCUAGAAAAAUGGACAACUAAAAUGGCUUUCAUUUCUCACAGGACAAAACUGUUUGUAUUCAUGUAUCACUGUUUGUAUCACUAUAGUAUUUUUCAAACUUGAGAUCUAACUCUGUAUAGAACAUCUUUAUUCUGAAGAACUGGAGCAUGACAACAACUGGAUAGUGAAAUUUGAAAGACCUAUUAAAAAACAAAAAAGAUGAUAUCAGAGUAAGGAUGUGUACUAUACAAAAAACUUAAAUUUACUAAACCUAGUUUUUUGGAUUUGCUUUUGAUGAUAAGUUUAUUUUUGAUCCUCAUCUUUGAAAAUUGUGUACCACUUGUACUAAAAGACUAUAAUUUCAGCAUAUGAUAUCUAGUGCAUUUCGAGGAAAUGACUGCAUCAUUCUCCUUCAGAUAUACUGAACACUGAUGUAAUCUAAAACAGAUUAUGGUUCACUCAUGUAUAGAUAGGUUAUAAGACCACCACCCAGUUGAUGGAUCCAAUCCAUCUCAAGCUUUAAGACUCUGUCUAGGAGCAUUCAGAACAUUCAUGAAUAAAUAUGCAUAAUAAUAGGUUCAUGACAGUAUUCAUAUAUUAUCAUGUGUGAACAUUUUCUGUUUGUAUUUAUUUAAUAAAUUUUAUGAUAAACUUGAUUUUUUGAUAUUCAUUUUAUAUAUAUUUUUCAUAGGCAAGAAAUGCUGUUUCUAAAGAAGUUGUUGCAAUUAAGAAAAUGUCAUUUACUGG